Molecule: ribosomal RNA, 469 nt
Filed under: uncultured bacterium
Lineage: Bacteria
Description: SSU rRNA
Rfam family: Bacterial small subunit ribosomal RNA
Source: RNAcentral
AGGAUAAACGCUGGCGGCGUGCCUAACACAUGCAAGUCGAACGCGCUUUCGGGCUUCGGUGCGAGAGCGAGUGGCGGACGGGUGAGUAACACAUGGGUACCUGCCUUUCAGUGAGGGAUACCGGCGAGAAAUCGCCGACAAUACCGCAUGGGCUUGUGGGAACACAAGCAAAGUGGCGCAAGCCACGCUGGAAGAUGGGCCUGUGGCCGAUUAGCUAGUUGGGGGGGUAACGGCCUCCCAAGGCGACGAUCGGUAGCUGGUCUGAGAGGACGAUCAGCCACACUGGGAUUGAGAACGGCCCAGACUCCUACGGGGGCAGCAGUGAGGAAUUUUCCGCAAUGGACGAAAGUCUGACGGAGCAACGCCGCGUGCAGGAGGAAGGUUUUCGGAUCGUAAACUGCUUUUCUCGGGGACGAGCAAGGACGGUACCCGAGGAAGAAGCCCCGGCUAACUACGUGCCAGCAGCCGC